GACGAACGCUGGCGGCGUGCUUAACACAUGCAAGUCGAACGGAAAGGCCCUUCGGGGUACUCGAGUGGCGAACGGGUGAGUAACACGUGGGUGAUCUGCCCUGCACUUUGGGAUAAGCCUGGGAAACUGGGUCUAAUACCGAAUAGGACCACGCGCUUCAUGGUGUGUGGUGGAAAGCUUUUGCGGUGUGGGAUGGGCCCGCGGCCUAUCAGCUUGUUGGUGGGGUAAUGGCCUACCAAGGCGACGACGGGUAGCCGGCCUGAGAGGGUGACCGGCCACACUGGGACUGAGAUACGGCCCAGACUCCUACGGGAGGCAGCAGUGGGGAAUAUUGCACAAUGGGCGCAAGCCUGAUGCAGCGACGCCGCGUGAGGGAUGACGGCCUUCGGGUUGUAAACCUCUUUCAAUAGGGACGAAGCGCAAGUGACGGUACCUAUAGAAGAAGCACCGGCCAACUACGUGCCAGCAGCCGCGGUAAUACGUAGGGUGCGAGCGUUGUCCGGAAUUACUGGGCGUAAAGAGCUCGUAGGUGGUUUGUCGCGUUGUUCGUGAAAACUCACAGCUUAACUGUGGGCGUGCGGGCGAUACGGGCAGACUAGAGUACUGCAGGGGAGACUGGAAUUCCUGGUGUAGCGGUGGAAUGCGCAGAUAUCAGGAGGAACACCGGUGGCGAAGGCGGGUCUCUGGGCAGUAACUGACGCUGAGGAGCGAAAGCGUGGGGAGCGUACAGGAUUAGAUACCCUGGUAGUCCACGCCGUAAACGGUGGGUACUAGGUGUGGGUUCCUUCCUUGGGAUCCGUGCCGUAGCUAACGCAUUAAGUACCCCGCCUGGGGAGUACGGCCGCAAGGCUAAAACUCAAAGGAAUUGACGGGGGCCCGCACAAGCGGCGGAGCAUGUGGAUUAAUUCGAUGCAACGCGAAGAACCUUACCUGGGUUUGACAUGCACAGGACGCCGGCAGAGAUGUCGGUUCCCUUGUGGCCUGUGUGCAGGUGGUGCAUGGCUGUCGUCAGCUCGUGUCGUGAGAUGUUGGGUUAAGUCCCGCAACGAGCGCAACCCUUGUCCUAUGUUGCCAGCGGGUUAUGCCGGGGACUCGUAGGAGACUGCCGGGGUCAACUCGGAGGAAGGUGGGGAUGACGUCAAGUCAUCAUGCCCCUUAUGUCCAGGGCUUCACACAUGCUACAAUGGCCGGUACAAAGGGCUGCGAUGCCGUGAGGUGGAGCGAAUCCUUUCAAAGCCGGUCUCAGUUCGGAUCGGGGUCUGCAACUCGACCCCGUGAAGUCGGAGUCGCUAGUAAUCGCAGAUCAGCAACGCUGCGGUGAAUACGUUCCCGGGCCU
RNAcentral lists this ribosomal RNA (1337 nucleotides) under uncultured bacterium. Its description in RNAcentral is "bacterial SSU rRNA". It matches the Rfam family "Bacterial small subunit ribosomal RNA", at positions 28 to 1381 of the family's 1533-position model. The record is from RNAcentral.